RNAcentral lists this transfer RNA (76 nucleotides) under Escherichia coli KTE91. RNAcentral describes it as "tRNA-Lys". It matches the Rfam family "tRNA". From Rfam's summary of the family: Transfer RNA (tRNA) molecules are approximately 80 nucleotides in length. Their secondary structure includes four short double-helical elements and three loops (D, anti-codon, and T loops). Further hydrogen bonds mediate the characteristic L-shaped molecular structure. tRNAs have two regions of fundamental functional importance: the anti-codon, which is responsible for specific mRNA codon recognition, and the 3' end, to which the tRNAs corresponding amino acid is attached (by aminoacyl-tRNA synthetases). tRNAs cope with the degeneracy of the genetic code in two manners: having more than one tRNA (with a specific anti-codon) for a particular amino acid; and 'wobble' base-pairing, i.e. permitting non-standard base-pairing at the 3rd anti-codon position. The record is from RNAcentral. Lineage: Bacteria; Pseudomonadati; Pseudomonadota; Gammaproteobacteria; Enterobacterales; Enterobacteriaceae.
GGGUCGUUAGCUCAGUUGGUAGAGCAGUUGACUUUUAAUCAAUUGGUCGCAGGUAGUCAUCCUGCACGACCCACCA